UGCAGAAAUUUAGAUAAAAUAGAACAGUUGUGUUUGGAGAAGCGAUCCAAGUCUUUUGUGUCAGGUGUUAUCAAUUACCCAGUGAGUUGAAGUCGAGUCAUAAUAACUUGAAACAAGGUUUUCAACGUCACCGAAGAAUGCUGCUGGAAAUCAUCACUCAUCGGAUAAGAUGACAAUACAAACGAAGAUUGUGAAAAUUCAAUGAAUUCAAAUUUUUCUCGAAACAGAAGGAGAUACGAGAAGCGAGUGGUUGACGCCACUUUAUAUAGUGACUCUCCAACGAGAUGGCCUACGUUUCAGAACUUGGCAGACGGAAAUGCGGGUAGUGAUUCGGAGAACGCUGUGCCAGGAGUUUCAGAUUAGUCAACAGACUAUACCGCACCAUCUUCAGAAUCACUUUCAAUAAGCAAUGUAAGUGACUUAAAAGAAAAUCAUAUAUACGGAAAAGAAAAGGGCUGUAAAUCAAUUCCAAAAAAGCUUCUAAAUAAACGUGAACCAGAAAAGAAACGAC
Styela clava is the source of this 511-nucleotide non-coding RNA. NCBI's taxonomy places the organism in Eukaryota, Metazoa, Chordata, Ascidiacea, Stolidobranchia, Styelidae. The record is from RefSeq and is a predicted model, not a curated record.